AUUGGACGCUGGCGGCAUGCUUUACACAUGCAAGUCGAACGGCAGCGCGGGCUUCGGCCUGGCGGCGAGUGGCGAACGGGUGAGUAAUACAUCGGAACGUGCCCAGUAGUGGGGGAUAGCUCGGCGAAAGCCGGAUUAAUACCGCAUACGACCUGAGGGUGAAAGCGGGGGAUCUUCGGACCUCGCGCUAUUGGAGCGGCCGAUGGCAGAUUAGCUAGUUGGUGGGGUAAAGGCCUACCAAGGCGACGAUCUGUAGCUGGUCUGAGAGGACGACCAGCCACACUGGGACUGAGACACGGCCCAGACUCCUACGGGAGGCAGCAGUGGGGAAUUUUGGACAAUGGGCGAAAGCCUGAUCCAACAAUGCCGCGUGUGUGGUGAAGGCCUUCGGGUUGUAAAGCACUUUUGGCGGGAACGAAAAGGACUGUGCCAAUACCACGGUUCGAUGACGGUACCCGCAGAAUAAGCACCGGCUAACUACGUG
This 484-nucleotide ribosomal RNA is filed under the name uncultured bacterium. Its description in RNAcentral is "partial 16S ribosomal RNA". It matches the Rfam family "Bacterial small subunit ribosomal RNA", at positions 29 to 507 of the family's 1533-position model. The record is from RNAcentral.